Molecule: ribosomal RNA, 442 nt
Filed under: uncultured bacterium
Lineage: Bacteria
Description: partial 16S ribosomal RNA
Rfam family: Bacterial small subunit ribosomal RNA
Source: RNAcentral
CCUACGGGAGGCAGCAGUGGGGAAUAUUGGGCAAUGGGCGCAAGCCUGACCCAGCAAUGCCGCGUGUAGGAAGAAGGCUUUCGGGUUGUAAACUUCUUUGACAGGGGAGGAGCAGAAGACGGUUCCUUGCAAUCAACCUUCGGCUAACUACGUGCCAGCAGCCGCGGUAAUACGUAGGGGGCAAGCGUUGUCCGGAUUUACUGGGUGUAAAGAGCGUGUAGCCGGGAAGGCAAGUCAGAUGUGAAAUCUGGAGGCUCAACCUCCAAAUUGCAUUUGAAACUGUUUAUCUUGAGUACUGGAGAGGCAGGCGGAAGGCCAUGUGUAGCGGUGAAAUGCGUAGAGAUAAGGAGGAACACCAGUGGCGAAGGCGGUCUGCUGGACAGCAACUGACGGUGAGGCGCGAAAGCGUGGGGAGCAAACAGGAUUAGAUACCCGAGUAGUC